Molecule: non-coding RNA, 498 nt
Organism: Myotis lucifugus (little brown bat)
Lineage: Eukaryota; Metazoa; Chordata; Mammalia; Chiroptera; Vespertilionidae
Source: the annotation of a RefSeq genome assembly
AUGAACCCUUCUGGCAAAUUCUGCACACAGAGCCAAGGGAUCCCCAGAGCUAAGUUUCUUGCAUUUGUCUUCCUGCAAGUGGUUGGAGCCCAAGCAGACCCCCUUCCCACCAUGGCCCAGAUGCUGUGCUGCAUGGCCCUUUGUCUCCUGGGAGCAGGCACAGUGCGUAGUGGCGUCACUCAGACCCCAAAAUACCUGCUCAGAGAGGAAGGACGAGAUGUGACCCUGGACUGUGAACAGAACUUAAGUCAUGACUCCAUGUACUGGUACCGGCAGGACCCAGGGCAAGGGCUGAGACUGAUCUACUUCUCGACAGUUGUGAAGGACGUUCAGCAGGGAGACCUGGCAGAGGGCUACCGCGCCUCUCGGGAGAAGAAGCCAUUCUUUCCCCUCACUGUGACAUCCACCCGAAAGAGCCAGACAGCUGUGUAUCUCUGUGCCAGCAGUGCAGACACAGUGGAGCACGGCCCCCUCCCCUCUGUGCACAAACGUGUCUGA